AGAGGGAGCAACACAUCUUCCUGAAGACCAAGAGGGGAAUUAUGGUCAAGCAAAAUACUGAGCCUCCUUCUUCCCACUUCCAACCAGGUGCUUUGUGGGCGCUUCUUGACAUUUUGGAGAGGAGAAAACUCCAGAGAUGAGCUGAGCUCAUCCCACACUUGCCAGCCAUCCCAAAGGGCAGGCUCACGUGGAAAAUGGCAGCAAGCAUGAAGUUAUCUUCCUUGCAAAAUCUGUAGCCGAGAAAGCAACCCAGAGCACAGAAAGGAAAGCCACCUUGCUGCAAGCCCUGGCAAACACCCCAGGUAGAUGCAGGUGAAGAUACCAUCUUCCCUGUUAUCAAGUCAGCCUUACUUCAGCCAUGUCCGUGCUGAGAACGUGACGUACCAUGCAUGCAUGGACAUCCUGGGAUGCACAAGUAAGUCAAGUGACAG
Molecule: long non-coding RNA, 431 nt
Organism: Gallus gallus (chicken)
Lineage: Eukaryota; Metazoa; Chordata; Aves; Galliformes; Phasianidae
Exons: 3
Source: RefSeq, a predicted model, not a curated record